AAAUUUUGUCAGUCACUAGUCUUACAUAUCGAGCGAACAAGCUACAAUGGUCAAAUAGUUUUCACACUAACUUAACUCAAACUACUUCGCUGCCAUUACGAAUUGUAUUUUUUUUAUUCGCAUUUUGUUGGUGCAUUGAAGAAGGUGAAGUACCACCACUACCUAUUCCAGUACCAACACCACUACCAGCUAUAACAACCGCACCUCCAUGAUGGUAAUGAUGUUGAUGGUGGCCGUGAAUAUGAUGAUGGUGGUUUUUAUGAUAACCAUGGUCAUGGGUAUUAAUGUGAUGAGCAUAAUGUAUUCCACCUAUAAAUAUUGUAUUAAAUAAAAAAAAUAUUAAUUUGUAGCCAUAGUCGAAAUUAUUAAAAAAAACUUUACCUGUAUGAAAAUUCAUAGGCAAUUGAUGUUGUUGCUGUUGUUGUUGAUGGCACGAUGCGUAGUGCUGUGGAUGUUGUUGGAAGACCACAGAUGGCUGGUUGUCCGUUGAAUAAGGUAUUGAAUUUGACGAAUUGGUUGAUGCCGAUGUGGGAACAUAGUGCUGUUGUAAAUAAACAUAUCCACCACUCUCAGAGCCAGAAGUAUUUGAUGCAGGUAUUCCAGCAAUACCAUAUUGAGCUGAUCCACUUCGUUCAAUUGGUUUUUGUGGGAAACUGAAAUAAAAUGACAAAUUAAUUAUUUUAAAAUUGCAAGAAGUAAAUAUUGUAAGAAUUAACAUGACGUAUAUAAAAAAUUGUCAAUAACCUAACAUUCGCACAAUUGAAAUCCAA
This is a long non-coding RNA of Lucilia sericata (common green bottle fly), 770 nucleotides long. RefSeq lists it as uncharacterized. Lineage: Eukaryota; Metazoa; Arthropoda; Insecta; Diptera; Calliphoridae. The transcript has 2 exons. The record is from RefSeq and is a predicted model, not a curated record.